Molecule: transfer RNA, 69 nt
Filed under: Bathymodiolus septemdierum
Lineage: Eukaryota; Metazoa; Mollusca; Bivalvia; Mytilida; Modiolidae
Description: tRNA-Val
Source: RNAcentral
GACAAAGUAGAAUAAAAUUAAGUUCAUUUCGUUUACACCGAAAAAGUCGAUAUUUAGUUGUUUUGUUAG